CUAUGCGCCUUGCCAGCCCGCUCAGGUGUGCCAGCAGCCGCGGUAAUACGUAUGGAGCAAGCGUUAUCCGGAUUUACUGGGUGUAAAGGGAGCGCAGGCGGCUUUGCAAGUCUGAUGUGAAAGGCCGGGGCUCAACCCCGGGACUGCAUUGGAAACUGUAAAGCUAGAGUGCCGGAGAGGUAAGCGGAAUUCCUAGUGUAGCGGUGAAAUGCGUAGAUAUUAGGAGGAACACCAGUGGCGAAGGCGGCUUACUGGACGGCAACUGACGCUGAGGCUCGAAAGCGUGGGGAGCAAACAGG
This 299-nucleotide ribosomal RNA is filed under the name uncultured bacterium. Its description in RNAcentral is "partial 16S ribosomal RNA". It matches the Rfam family "Bacterial small subunit ribosomal RNA", at positions 475 to 776 of the family's 1533-position model. The record is from RNAcentral.